This 232-nucleotide ribosomal RNA is filed under the name uncultured Staphylococcus sp. RNAcentral's name for it is "partial 16S ribosomal RNA". It matches the Rfam family "Bacterial small subunit ribosomal RNA", at positions 108 to 334 of the family's 1533-position model. Lineage: Bacteria; Bacillati; Bacillota; Bacilli; Caryophanales; Staphylococcaceae. The record is from RNAcentral.
UAGUAACACGUGGAUAACCUACCUAUAAGACUGGGAUAACUUCGGGAAACCGGAGCUAAUACCGGAUAAUAUUUUGAACCGCAUGGUUCAAAAGUGAAAGACGGUCUUGCUGUCACUUAUAGAUGGAUCCGCGCUGCAUUAGCUAGUUGGUAAGGUAACGGCUUACCAAGGCAACGAUGCAUAGCCGACCUGAGAGGGUGAUCGGCCACACUGGAACUGAGACACGGUCCAG